This 165-nucleotide unclassified non-coding RNA is filed under the name Trichoderma polysporum. RNAcentral's name for it is "partial internal transcribed spacer 2". RNAcentral also lists the same sequence under 1 other name. The record is from RNAcentral. Lineage: Eukaryota; Fungi; Ascomycota; Sordariomycetes; Hypocreales; Hypocreaceae.
CAACCCUCGAACCCCUCCGGGGGUCCGGCGUUGGGGAUCGGCCCUUUACCGGCCGGCCCCGAAAUACAGUGGCGGUCUCGCCGCAGCCUCUCCUGCGCAGUAGUUUGCACACUCGCAUCGGGAGCGCGGCGCGUCCACGUCCGUAAAACACCCAACUUUCUGAAA